GUCAAGUCAUCAUGGCCUUUAUGGGUAGGGCUACACACGUGCUACAAUGGGGCGUACAGAGGGUAGCCAACCCGCGAGGGGGAGCCAAUCUCAGAAAGCGUCUCGUAGUCCGGAUUGGAGUCUGCAACUCGACUCCAUGAAGUUGGAAUCGCUAGUAAUCGCGAAUCAGCAACGUCGCGGUGAAUACGUUCCCGGGCCUU
Molecule: ribosomal RNA, 200 nt
Filed under: uncultured organism
Description: partial small subunit ribosomal RNA
Rfam family: Bacterial small subunit ribosomal RNA
Source: RNAcentral